GGGUACUUAGUGUGUAACGUGAUCGAGUGAAUCGUGGCAAGUACGAGCGCGGAUCUCAAAAUAUUUGCUUAAUAGAUUUGGGUUUAAAAGGCGAGUUAUUAGAGCGAGUGUCGUAAAAUGAUCGGUAAAUACGAUGAUGCUGUUGCCAUCGUGGUCCAAUUAACUGGGAUCCCUGAUGGGAAAUGGAAAUCUUCUGCCUCCCACGAGUCACUUUAAACCAUUGUAUCUUUGGUGCUGGAGUAAAGUGGAUCAAAUAUGUGUCAAUGUCAAGGGAAGUUAUUAAACGGCUUAUCAACACAAGGAAAAUUAUCGUCUCUAGUUCGCGCAAAAAUGAAUGGGGUAAACAGCAAACCAUUACAAGGAGAAUGAAAGAUGCAACCGUCAUAAUCGCAUUUAUUAUUUAAACAAUUCAGAUGUCACAUCGAUAAAGGAUGUAUUCUUGUACAGUAAACACCGUAUCCUUUAAUGAUAUAAAAGUUAAAGGAGUCGCUCCACCUCACCACAUCUCCGAACCGAGCGGUAUAAAUAUGCGACUGAUUCAGUCAUUGGCAGUAGAAAAAUCGCAUAUUUACAACGGGAUUGCGGCAAAUCGUCCUCGGAUUACAUCGUUGAUAACUGAAAACCGAAACUGAUUGUCUAGACUUGCAUUCGCAGUUAUCAACAAUAUAAAAGAAGUAACACGUUUUGAUUCAGCACUUUGUUUAUUUAUAGAAAUUUACAAGUAGCACCACCGUGCCAUAAUACUUUGUCAUAAAAUUAAACAAAUCCCUCGUUA
This is a long non-coding RNA of Tribolium castaneum (red flour beetle), 775 nucleotides long. RefSeq lists it as uncharacterized. Lineage: Eukaryota; Metazoa; Arthropoda; Insecta; Coleoptera; Tenebrionidae. The transcript has 2 exons. The record is from RefSeq and is a predicted model, not a curated record.